AUUGAACGCUGGCGGCAGGCCUAACACAUGCAAGUCGAGCGGAUGAAGGGAGCUUGCUCCUGGAUUCAGCGGCGGACGGGUGAGUAAUGCCUAGGAAUCUGCCUGGUAGGGGGGGAUAACGUCCGGAAACGGGCGCUAAUACCGCAUACGUCCUGAGGGAGAAAGUGGGGGAUCUUCGGACCUCACGCUAUCAGAUGAGCCUAGGUCGGAUUAGCUAGUUGGUGGGGUAAAGGCCUACCAAGGCGACGAUCCGUAACUGGUCUGAGAGGAUGAUCAGUCACACGGGAACUGAGGCAGCGUCCAGGCUCCUACGGGAGGCAGCAGUGGGGAAUGUUGGGCAGUGGGCGAAAGCCUGAUCCAGCCAUGCCGCGUGUGUGAAGAAGGUCUUCGGAUUGUAAAGCACUUUAAGUUGGGAGGAAGGGCAGUAAGUUAAUACCUUGCUGUUUUGACGUUACCAACAGAAUAAGCACCGGCUAACUUCGUG
This 484-nucleotide ribosomal RNA is filed under the name uncultured bacterium. Its description in RNAcentral is "partial 16S ribosomal RNA". It matches the Rfam family "Bacterial small subunit ribosomal RNA", at positions 30 to 507 of the family's 1533-position model. The record is from RNAcentral.